UUGAAGAAUGAGAGAAUGAUUAGAUCAAUUAGGUGUUAUUUAGAGUGGUGGAAAAAUAGAUUCCUUAGCUAGAUUAUGUGAUAACCAGGAAUUAGAUCAUAGUUCGUCUUCACGAGCUCACUUGAAUGUUUGGAAGGUUCAAAUUCCAGUAGAGUUUGAGAUAAUUUUUUUCCCUGUUUGCUUAAGGUUGGUGAGUAUAGUUACCAAAUACUUGUGUUGGUUCAUUGUCUAGGUUAAUGUAAGGUGGCUUGGACAGUGACAAUUAGAUAACACUCUGAAAUAUUCCAUCAUAUCUUCUAACACCGCAGACAUUCAAAUUUCUCGUAAGAAUAAUAUUAUGUGAGUUAUUGCUUCUGUUCUGAGCUACAGCCAUAUUCCGUCCU
Solanum tuberosum (potato) is the source of this 383-nucleotide long non-coding RNA. RefSeq lists it as uncharacterized. The record is from RefSeq and is a predicted model, not a curated record. NCBI's taxonomy places the organism in Eukaryota, Viridiplantae, Streptophyta, Magnoliopsida, Solanales, Solanaceae. The transcript is spliced from 2 exons.